GACGAACGCUGGCGGCGUGCUUAACACAUGCAAGUCGAACGGAGUGGCGAACGGGUGAGUAACAGGUGGGUGACCUGCCCUGCACUUCGGGAUAAGCCUGUGAAACUGGGUCUCAUACCGGUAAGUGUGGGCUGGGCCCGGGGCCUAUCAGCUUGUUGGUGGGGGAAUGGCCUACCAAGGCGGCGACGGGUAGCCGGCCUGAGAGGGUGGACGGCCACAUUGGGACUGCGACACGGCCCAGACUCCUACGGGAGGCAGCAGUGGGGAAUAUUGCGCAAUGGGCGGAAGCGUGAUGCAGCGACGCCGCGUGGGUGAUGACGGCUUUCGGGUUGUAAACUCCUUUCACCAUCGACGCGGUAGAUGGAGAAGAAGCACCGGCUAACUACGUGCCAGCAGCCGCGGUAAUAC
Molecule: ribosomal RNA, 408 nt
Filed under: uncultured bacterium
Lineage: Bacteria
Description: partial 16S ribosomal RNA
Rfam family: Bacterial small subunit ribosomal RNA
Source: RNAcentral